This 460-nucleotide ribosomal RNA is filed under the name uncultured bacterium. RNAcentral describes it as "partial 16S ribosomal RNA". It matches the Rfam family "Bacterial small subunit ribosomal RNA", at positions 338 to 795 of the family's 1533-position model. The record is from RNAcentral.
CCUACGGGUGGCAGCAGUGAGGAAUAUUGGUCAAUGGACGAGAGUCUGAACCAGCCAAGUAGCGUGAAGGAUGACUGCCCUAUGGGUUGUAAACUUCUUUUAUAAAGGAAUAAAACGAGGCACGUGUGCCUUUUUGCAUGUACUUUAUGAAUAAGGAUCGGCUAACUCCGUGCCAGCAGCCGCGGUAAUACGGAGGAUCCGAGCGUUAUCCGGAUUUAUUGGGUUUAAAGGGAGCGUAGAUGGGUUGUUAAGUCAGUUGUGAAAGUUUGCGGCUCAACCGUAAAAUUGCAAUUGAUACUGGCAGUCUUGAGUACAGUUGAGGUAGGCGGAAUUCGUGGUGUAGCGGUGAAAUGCUUAGAUAUCACGAAGAACCCCGAUUGCGAAGGCAGCUUACUGGACAGUAACUGACGUUGAGGCUCGAAAGCGUGGGGAGCAAACAGGAUUAGAUACCCGAGUAGUC